GAAAUGCGAUAAGUAAUGUGAAUUGCAGAAUUCAGUGAAUCAUCGAAUCUUUGAACGCACCUUGCGCUCCUUGUUAUUCCUUGGAGCAUGCCUGUUUGAGUAUCAUGAAAUCUUCAAAGUAAAUCUUUUGUUAACUCAAUUGGUUUCUACUUUGGUAUUGGAGGUCUUUGCAGCUUCACACCUGCUCCUCUUUGUUCAUUAGCUGGAUCUCAGUGUUAUGCUUGGUUCCACUCGGCGUGAUAAGUUAUCUAUCGCUGAGGACACUGUAAAAGGUGGCCAAGGUAAAUGCAGAUGAACCACUUCUAAUAGUCCAUUGACUUGGACAAUACUUUUAUGAUCUGAUCUCAAAUCAGGUAGGACUACCCGCUGAACUUAAGC
This 378-nucleotide unclassified non-coding RNA is filed under the name plant metagenome. Its description in RNAcentral is "partial contains 5.8S ribosomal RNA, internal transcribed spacer 2, and large subunit ribosomal RNA". The stretch from base 1 to 105 matches the Rfam family "5.8S ribosomal RNA", at positions 50 to 154 of the family's 154-position model. The record is from RNAcentral.